GCAUGUGGAUUAAUUCGAUGCAACGCGAAGAACCUUACCUGGGCUUGACAUAUAGGACGACGGCAGAGAUGUCGUUUCCUUGUGCUUGUAUACAGGUGGUGCAUGGUUGUCGUCAGCUCGUGUCGUGAGAUGUUGGGUUAAGUCCCGCAACGAGCGCAACCCUUGUCUCAUGUUGCCAGCAAUUCGUUGGGGACUCGUGAGAGACUGCCGGGGUCAACUCGGAGGAAGGUGGGGAUGACGUCAAAUCAUCAUGCCCCUUAUGUCCAGGGCUUCACACAUGCUACAAUGGCCGGUACAGAGGGCUAAUCUCUUAAAGCCGGUCUCAGUUCGGAUUGGGGUCUGCAACUCGACCCCAUGAAGUCGGAGUCGCUAGUAAUCGCAGAUCAGCAUGCUGCGGUGAAUACGUUCCCGGGCCUUGUACACACCGCCCGUCACGUCAUGAGAGUCGGUAACACCCGAAGCCGGUGGCCUAACC
This 475-nucleotide ribosomal RNA is filed under the name Dietzia maris. Its description in RNAcentral is "bacterial SSU rRNA". It matches the Rfam family "Bacterial small subunit ribosomal RNA", at positions 937 to 1440 of the family's 1533-position model. Lineage: Bacteria; Bacillati; Actinomycetota; Actinomycetes; Mycobacteriales; Dietziaceae. The record is from RNAcentral.